Molecule: ribosomal RNA, 394 nt
Filed under: Dendrocygna autumnalis (black-bellied whistling-duck)
Lineage: Eukaryota; Metazoa; Chordata; Aves; Anseriformes; Anatidae
Description: partial 12S ribosomal RNA
Rfam family: Bacterial small subunit ribosomal RNA
Source: RNAcentral
GCCUGGCCCUAAAUCUCGAUACUUACAGUACCCAAGUAUCCGCCCGAGAACUACGAGCACAAACGCUUAAAACUCUAAGGACUUGGCGGUGCCCUAAACCCACCUAGAGGAGCCUGUUCUAUAAUCGAUAAUCCACGAUAAACCCAACCACCCCUUGCCCAAAUAUCAGCCUACAUACCGCCGUCGCCAGCCUACCUCGAAUGAGAGCACAACAGUGGGCGAAAUAGCACUCCGCUAGUAAGACAGGUCAAGGUAUAGCCUAUGGGAUGGAAGAAAUGGGCUACAUUCUCUACAAUAGAGCAUCACGGAAAGAAGUGUGAAACCGCUUCUAGAAGGAGGAUUUAGCAGUAAAAUAGGAUAAUAAAGCCUAUUUUAAACCGGCCCUGGGGCACGU